GACGAACGCUGGCGGCGUGCUUAACACAUGCAAGUCGAACGGUAAGGCUCCAGCUUGCUGGGGUACACGAGUGGCGAACGGGUGAGUAACACGUGGGUGACCUGCCCUGCACUUCGGGAUAAGCCUGGGAAACUGGGUCUAAUGCCGGAUAGGACCAUGGUGUGGAUACUGUGGUGGAAAGUUUUUUCGGUGUGGGAUGGGCCCGCGGCCUAUCAGCUUGUUGGUGGGGUAAUGGCCUACCAAGGCGGCGACGGGUAGCCGGCCUGAGAGGGUGGACGGCCACAUUGGGACUGAGACACGGCCCAGACUCCUACGGGAGGCAGCAGUGGGGAAUAUUGCACAAUGGGCGGAAGCCUGAUGCAGCGACGCCGCGUGGGGGAUGACGGCCUUCGGGUUGUAAACUCCUUUCACCAUCGACGAAGGGUUUCUGACGGUAGAUGGAGAAGAAGCACCGGCUAACUACGUG
This 466-nucleotide ribosomal RNA is filed under the name uncultured bacterium. Its description in RNAcentral is "partial 16S ribosomal RNA". It matches the Rfam family "Bacterial small subunit ribosomal RNA", at positions 28 to 507 of the family's 1533-position model. The record is from RNAcentral.